CCGGAUUUAUUGGGUUUAAAGGGUGCGUAGGCGGUUUGAUAAGUUAGAGGUGAAAUUUCGGGGCUCAACCCUGAACUGCCUCUAAUACUGUUGAGCUAGAGAGUAGUUGCGGUAGGCGGAAUGCAUGGUGUAGCGGUGAAAUGCUUAGAGAUCAUACAGAACACCGAUUGCGAAGGCAGCUUACCAAACUAUAUCUGACGUUGAGGCACGAAAGCGUGGGGAGCAAACAGGAUUAGAUACCCUGGUAGUCCACGCAGUAAACGAUGAUAACUCGUUGUCGGCGAUACACAGUCGGUGACUAAGCGAAAGCGAUAAGUUAUCCACCUGGGGAGUACGUUCGCAAGAAUGAAACUCAAAGGAAUUGACGGGGGCCCGCACAAGCGGAGGAACAUGUGGUUUAAUUCGAUGAUACGCGAGGAACCUUACCCGGGCUUGAAAGUUACUGACGAUUCUGGAAACAGGAUUUCCCUUCGGGGCAGGAAACUAGGUGCUGCAUGGUUGUCGUCAGCUCGUGCCGUGAGGUGUCGGGUUAAGUCCCAUAACGAGCGCAACCCUUACCGUUAGUUGCUAGCAUGUAAUGAUGAGCACUCUAACGAGACUGCCACCGUAAGGUGAGAGGAAGGCGGGGAUGACGUCAAAUCAGCACGG
RNAcentral lists this ribosomal RNA (648 nucleotides) under human gut metagenome. Its description in RNAcentral is "bacterial SSU rRNA". It matches the Rfam family "Bacterial small subunit ribosomal RNA", at positions 545 to 1198 of the family's 1533-position model. The record is from RNAcentral.